AUUGAACGCUGGCGGCAUGCUUUACACAUGCAAGUCGAACGGGGUGAGGGGGCAACUCCUCAUUCAGUGGCGAACGGGUGAGUAAUGCAUCGGAACGUGUCCCGUAGUGGGGGAUAACGCCGGGAAACCGGCGCUAAUACCGCAUAUGCUCUACGGAGGAAAGUGGGGGACCGCAAGGCCUCACGCUAUGGGAGCGGCCGAUGUCCGAUUAGCUUGUUGGCGGGUAAAGGCCCACCAAGGCGACGAUCGGUAGCUGGUCUGAGAGGAUGAUCAGCCACACUGGGACUGAGACACGGCCCAGACUCCUACGGGAGGCUG
Molecule: ribosomal RNA, 318 nt
Filed under: uncultured Pseudomonadota bacterium
Lineage: Bacteria; Pseudomonadati; Pseudomonadota
Description: bacterial SSU rRNA
Rfam family: Bacterial small subunit ribosomal RNA
Source: RNAcentral